Non-coding RNA from Chiloscyllium plagiosum (whitespotted bambooshark), 1086 nucleotides. The record is from RefSeq and is a predicted model, not a curated record. NCBI's taxonomy places the organism in Eukaryota, Metazoa, Chordata, Chondrichthyes, Orectolobiformes, Hemiscylliidae.
ACCAGCGUCUCCCACCACUAAACUGAGAGCGCAGGCAGGGAGCGGCGGUUUGCCCAGCCUGGCGGACCGUUGUGUUGGAACGUUGAAGGUACACUAGUUUCUCACCGGCUUUAGGACUCAUUCCAACAUGGAGAACAAAAAGGAUUUCUAGCCAUCACCGAGUGGCAGAGAGCAGCAAGAAAGAAAAUCUAGUAAAUGGCCUCCCAAUUUGCUGCCUCCAUGCCUGUUGUCCAAAAUGGAGAGGCAACACCUCUAACAGAAUUGUUUAGCAACCUAGUUCAAUCUUUCCUGUCUGUGACUACUGCUUUUUGGGGCACAGAGCUGACAGACUUUAUGGAACAACUAUAUCAUCUCCUUCAUCGUCAAUUGUGGAAGAGGAAGCAGAGACUUGGACAUUGAGAAGUUUUACUUUUUACCCAUGCGAACACCAUUUUCUGAGACUAAUAGAAAAAGUAUCUAAAGUUGUCCUGAAGAAUACCUCAGGAUGAAUAGGAUUUGGAAGAUUAUUCCUCAUGCCUUGGAAACUGUUAGAAAUAUACAGCAGCUUUGGAGCUCAUGCUGCAUGGAUAGUUGGCUCGUAUGUCCUGGUGAUGAAAUAUAUUCCCAAACGUUACUUGAGCAAAAUUCAAUGAAAAAUCAUUGGGAUAUUUCCUUUGAUAAAAGGAGUAGAAAAGACAGUAUCACUGGCAAUCAAGAAUUACACAUUAAAAAAAAGGCUAUUCAACUUCCAAUUGAUGUUGGAAGGCAUUGCAAUGUCAACGUGGAAAUCAAGAGUGUGGUGCUGGAAAAGCACAGAAGGUCAGGCAGCAUUCAAGGAGCAGGAGAAUCGAUGUUUCGGGCAUAAGCCCUUCUUCAGGAAUGAAAAUGGAAAUGCCAAGUGACCCUUGGUCCAGGAGCUAGGCCGCUGGUGUCAAUUCUAUUCACACUUUUCCAAGUUUUCAUGUUCUUUCUCAUCAUCCUCUUGCACUUCUUGUUGUCAAGCAGCCCCCGGUCAUCGCUCCCGCUCUUCCUGCUGCUCACAAAAGUGGAGGGCCCUGAUGGUCGAGAGGAGGAAGGACACCACUUCGACUGGGACAACACACACGU